GAUGAACGCUAGCUACAGGCUUAACACAUGCAAGUCGAGGGGUAACGAGAGGAAAGCUUGCUUUCCUUGUCGACGACCGGCGCACGGGUGAGUAACGCGUAUCCAACCUGCCCCCAACUAGGGAAUAACCUUGCGAAAGUAAGACUAAUACCCUAUAAUUUCCUCAGAUGUCAUCUGACGAGGACUCAAGAUUUAUCGGUUGUGGAUGGGGAUGCGUCUGAUUAGCUUGUUGGCGGGGUAACGGCCCACCAAGGCAACGAUCAGUAGGGGUUCUGGGAGGAAGGUCCCCCACAUUGGAACUGAGACACGGUCCAAACUCCUACGGGAGGCAGCAGUGAGGAAUAUUGGUCAAUGGGCGGAAGCCUGAACCAGCCAAGUAGCGUGCAGGAUGACGGCCCUAUGGGUUGUAAACUGCUUUUAUACAGGAAUAAAGUUAGCCACGUGUGGUUAUUUGUAGGUACUGUAUGAAUAAGGACCGGCUAAUUCCGUGCCAGCCGCCGCCGUAA
Molecule: ribosomal RNA, 506 nt
Filed under: uncultured bacterium
Lineage: Bacteria
Description: partial 16S ribosomal RNA
Rfam family: Bacterial small subunit ribosomal RNA
Source: RNAcentral